RNAcentral lists this ribosomal RNA (253 nucleotides) under uncultured bacterium. RNAcentral's name for it is "partial 16S ribosomal RNA". It matches the Rfam family "Bacterial small subunit ribosomal RNA", at positions 524 to 776 of the family's 1533-position model. The record is from RNAcentral.
UACGUAGGGUGCGAGCGUUAAUCGGAAUUACUGGGCGUAAAGCGUGCGCAGGCGGUUUUUUAAGUCAGAUGUGAAAUCCCCGGGCUUAACCUGGGAAUGGCAUUUGGGACUGCAAGGCUGGAGUGCGGCAGAGGAGACUGGAAUUCCUGGUGUAGCAGUGAAAUGCGUAGAUAUCAGGAGGAAUACCGAUGGCGAAGGCAGGUCUCUGGGCUGACACUGACGCUCAUGCACGAAAGCGUGGGGAGCAAACAGG